This 455-nucleotide ribosomal RNA is filed under the name Lachancea fermentati. Its description in RNAcentral is "eukaryotic LSU rRNA". It matches the Rfam family "Eukaryotic large subunit ribosomal RNA", at positions 107 to 567 of the family's 3401-position model. Lineage: Eukaryota; Fungi; Ascomycota; Saccharomycetes; Saccharomycetales; Saccharomycetaceae. The record is from RNAcentral.
GCUCAAAUUUGAAAUCUGGCACCUUCGGUGUCCGAGUUGUAAUUUGAAGAAGCAACUUUGGUGCUGGUCCUUGUCUAUGUUCCUUGGAACAGGACGUCAUAGAGGGUGAGAAUCCCGUGUGGCGAGGAUCCCAGUGCUAUGUAAAGUGCUUUCGACGAGUCGAGUUGUUUGGGAAUGCAGCUCUAAGUGGGUGGUAAAUUCCAUCUAAAGCUAAAUAUUGGCGAGAGACCGAUAGCGAACAAGUACAGUGAUGGAAAGAUGAAAAGAACUUUGAAAAGAGAGUGAAAAAGUACGUGAAAUUGUUGAAAGGGAAGGGCAUUUGAUCAGACAUGGUGUUUUGCGACCCUCGCUCCUUGUGGGUGGGGAUCUCGCAGCUCACUGGGCCAACAUCGGUUUUGGCGGCAGGAUAAAACUUUGGGAAUGUAGCUUGUCUUCGGAGAAGUAUUAUAGCCCAA